UCCCUGCCUAGGUGUCUAGCAAUGAAGCC
This 29-nucleotide non-coding RNA is filed under the name Mus musculus (house mouse). The record is from RNAcentral. Lineage: Eukaryota; Metazoa; Chordata; Mammalia; Rodentia; Muridae.